RNAcentral lists this ribosomal RNA (475 nucleotides) under uncultured bacterium. Its description in RNAcentral is "bacterial SSU rRNA". It matches the Rfam family "Bacterial small subunit ribosomal RNA", at positions 791 to 1257 of the family's 1533-position model. The record is from RNAcentral.
UAGUCCACGCCCGUAAACGAUGGAUGCUAGGUGUCGGGACCUUAAGGUUUCGGUGCCGGAGCUAACGUAUUAAGCAUCCCGCCUGGGGAGUACGGUCGCAAGAUUAAAACUCAAAGGAAUUGACGGGACCCGCACAAGCGGUGGAGCAUGUGGUUUAAUUCGAGGCAACGCGAAGAACCUUACCAGCCCUUGACAUCCUGGUCGCGGCUCUAAGAGAUUAGAGCUUUCAGUUCGGCUGGACCAGUGACAGGUGCUGCAUGGCUGUCGUCAGCUCGUGUCGUGAGAUGUUGGGUUAAAGUCCCGCAACGAGCGCAACCCUCAUCCUUAGUUACCAUCAGGUUAAGCUGGGUACCCUAAGGAAACUGCCGGUGUCAAGCCGGAGGAAGGUGGGAUGACGUCAAGUCUUCAUGGGCCCUUAUGGGGCUGGGGCUACACACGUGCUACAAUGGGUAGUGACAAUGGGGCAGCGACCCCG